UGUGUCGCGGUAUGUUUAUUAAGGUGUAUCGCGGUAUGUUUUAUGUAAGGUGUGUCGCGGUAUGUUUAUUAAGGUGUAUCGCGGUAUGUUUAUUUUCGCCCGCCUUUUGGUUUAUAUAAAAUGUAACGCUAGAAAUUCGUGUAUCGCGGUAUGUUCUUUAUGUAAGGUGUGUCGCGGUAUGCUUAUUAAGGUGUAUCGCGGUACGUUUAUUUUCGCCCGCCUUUUGACAUUUAGUUUAUAUACGAUGUAACGCUAGAAAUUCGUGUAUCGCGGUAUGUUUUAUGUAAGGUGUGUCGCGGUAUGUUUAUUAAGGUGUAUCGCGGUAUGUUUAUUUUCGCCCGCCUUUUGGUUUAUAUAAAAUGUAACGCUAGAAAUUCGUGUAUCGCGGUAUGUUCUUUAUGUAAGGUGUGUCGCGGUAUGCUUAUUAAGGUGUAUCGCGGUACGUUUAUUUUCGCCCGCCUUUUGACAUUUAGUUUAUAUACGAUGUAACGCUAGAAAUUCGUGUAUCGCGGUAUGUUCAUUUUCGCUCGCCUUUUGACAUUUAGGAACACGUCGAGGUCAGCGUAGUCAGAACCGUAAGUCACUGUCGCCCGAUCGAUUUUAGCCUCAGACCGGGUGACAGGACUUAUCCACCUUCGGGCGAGUAUAUAAUCGCAGCGGGGAGUGAGAACGGGGCCAGUGCCUGUACGCCGACCAGGCUGCAACGCUGGACCCGACCACAACCACGCUGCUGGUAAGCUGGCUCGAAGGUAGGUUCCGACUACGCAGGGAUGCUGUGCGGGCUCAAGGCACAUCCCAUAGAUAGGUAGGAGCAAGCGGGUGGAGGGUUAGGUUAGCAUGCGUGGCGUUAGGGUAUUGUUAGGGUAGACACUGCGUUCGCGGUAGGAAAUAGCUUCUAAAAUGAUAACGUUAAAUCAGCGCAGUCCGUUAUGAACACAUUGCGAAAUUAUGAACAAUAAAAGGGGCGUUAAAUUGA
Molecule: long non-coding RNA, 976 nt
Organism: Amphibalanus amphitrite
Lineage: Eukaryota; Metazoa; Arthropoda; Thecostraca; Balanomorpha; Balanidae
Exons: 2
Source: RefSeq, a predicted model, not a curated record